UAUCGUCAUGUCACAGGCAUCUGCGAGCUCCUGGGUUGUGACCUCAAUGAACUUUGGAUCUUGAGCAAACUGCAUCAGUCCUUCCGAAAUCAAGACCUUCAAAAGCAGGAUGCAUUUGGUGACCCCUGGAGGGAUGUGACCCACCGAAUGAAAAACCACUGACUUCCACAGAGCUCCUUAUUGGGUGCUUAAGAGGUGAACUGCAGUUUCUUGUUUACCAGUUGAUGAAACACCUCCCUGUGGUGAAGGAGGGAUAAAUAAAGCUCCUUUUGGUUCUUACAAAGUUUUUUUUCAUGACAAUUCGCAACAAAAUCAAGUGUGUUGGUCAGUAAGA
Neopsephotus bourkii (Bourke's parrot) is the source of this 334-nucleotide long non-coding RNA. RefSeq lists it as uncharacterized. NCBI's taxonomy places the organism in Eukaryota, Metazoa, Chordata, Aves, Psittaciformes, Psittacidae. The record is from RefSeq and is a predicted model, not a curated record. The transcript has 2 exons.